UACAGAGGGUGCGAGCGUUGUCCGGAAUCACUGGGCGUAAAGGGCGCGUAGGCGGCUUUUCAAGCGUGCGGUGAAAGCUCGGGGCUUAACUCCGAGUCUGCCGUGCGAACUGGGAGGCUUGAGUCUGGUAGAGGUCGAUGGAAUUCCGGGUGUAGCGGUGGAAUGCGUAGAGAUCCGGAAGAACACCGGUGGCGAAGGCGGUCGACUGGGCCAGAACUGACGCUGAGGUGCGAAAGCGUGGGGAGCAAACAGG
Molecule: ribosomal RNA, 253 nt
Filed under: uncultured bacterium
Lineage: Bacteria
Description: partial 16S ribosomal RNA
Rfam family: Bacterial small subunit ribosomal RNA
Source: RNAcentral